RNAcentral lists this ribosomal RNA (448 nucleotides) under uncultured prokaryote. RNAcentral's name for it is "bacterial SSU rRNA". It matches the Rfam family "Bacterial small subunit ribosomal RNA", at positions 355 to 796 of the family's 1533-position model. The record is from RNAcentral.
UCGAGAAUCUUCCGCAAUGGGCGAAAGCCUGACGGAGCGACGCCGCGUGGAGGACGAAGGCCUUUGGGUUGUAAACUCCUGUCACGGGUUAUGAAUGCGCGUACGUUAAUAGCGUGCGUGUUGACGUCAGCCCGAGAGGAAGCACCGGCUAACUCUGUGCCAGCAGCCGCGGUAAUACAGAGGGUGCAAACGUUGUUCGGAAUCACUGGGCAUAAAGCGCGCGUAGGCGGCCUAGUCAGUGUGAAGUGAAAUCCCACGGCUCAACCGUGGAACUGCUUUGCAUACUGCUGGGCUCGAGGACGGUAGGGGAGAGCGGAACUCCUGGUGGAGCGGUGAAAUGCGUAGAUAUCAGGAGGAACACCGGUGGCGAAGGCGGCUCUCUGGUCCGUUUCUGACGCUGAGGUGCGAAAGCCAGGGUAGCGAACGGGAUUAGAUACCCCCGUAGUCC